GACAGAGGGUGCAAACGUUGUUCGGAAUUACUGGGCGUAAAGCGAGUGUAGGCGGUUCGGUAAGUCGGAUGUGAAAGCCCCGGGCUCAACCCGGGAAGUGCACUCGAUACUGCCGAGCUAGAGUAUCGGAGAGGUUGGUGGAAUUCUCGGUGUAGAGGUGAAAUUCGUAGAUAUCGAGAGGAACACCGGUGGCGAAGGCGGCCAACUGGACGAAUACUGACGCUGAGACUCGAAAGCGUGGGGGAGCAAACAGG
This 254-nucleotide ribosomal RNA is filed under the name uncultured bacterium. RNAcentral's name for it is "partial 16S ribosomal RNA". It matches the Rfam family "Bacterial small subunit ribosomal RNA", at positions 524 to 776 of the family's 1533-position model. The record is from RNAcentral.